Molecule: ribosomal RNA, 505 nt
Filed under: uncultured bacterium
Lineage: Bacteria
Description: partial 16S ribosomal RNA
Rfam family: Bacterial small subunit ribosomal RNA
Source: RNAcentral
GACGAACGCUGGCGGCGUGCCUAAUACAUGCAAGUAGAACGCACAGUUUAUACCGUAGCUUGCUACACCAUAGACUGUGAGUUGCGAACGGGUGAGUAACGCGUAGGUAACCUGCCUGGUAGCGGGGGGUAACUAUUGGAAACGAUAGCUAAUACCGCAUAAUAUUGAUUAUUGCAUGAUAAUUGAUUGAAAGAUGCUAUUGCAUCACUACCAGAUGGACCUGCGUUGUAUUAGCUAGUAGGUGAGGUAGCGGCUCACCUAGGCGACGAUACAUAGCCGACCUGAGAGGGUGAUCGGCCACACUGGGACUGAGACACGGCCCAGACUCCUACGGGAGGCAGCAGUAGGGAAUCUUCGGCAAUGGACGAAAGUCUGACCGAGCAACGCCGCGUGAGUGAAGAAGGUUUUCGGAUCGUAAAGCUCUGUUGUAAGAGAAGAACGGGUGUGAGAGUGGAAAGUUCACACUGUGACGGUAUCUUACCAGAAAGGGACGGCUAACUACGUG